Non-coding RNA from Elaeis guineensis (African oil palm), 2486 nucleotides. NCBI's taxonomy places the organism in Eukaryota, Viridiplantae, Streptophyta, Magnoliopsida, Arecales, Arecaceae. The record is from RefSeq and is a predicted model, not a curated record.
GAGAGAGAGAGAGAGAGAGAGGGGUGAGAAGUCUUUUGGACGAGAAGGGAGCUGCUCUGAUAGAGUACGAGCGAGAGAAAGAAGAGGAAAGGAGGACGAGAGGAAGAGAGAGCGCGGUAAUAGCGAGCCAGAGAAGGAGGUUCGAGGCGAUGGAACGCCGGAAGGCGAUGACAUGGGCAAGAGUGGGGAAAUCGGCGCAGGCGGUCGCGGCGCAUGGGCUGCUCUUCUGCUUCACACUUUUCUUGGCCCUCAAGAUCGACGGUCGCUUCUCCUAUUCUUGGUGUAUGCAGGAUUAGUUUUUGUCCCUCUUUGGUUGUUUCAUGCUGUUGUUGCGCGUGGAAGGUUCUCCUUACCUGCUCCAUCAUUACCUCAUGAUCGUCAUUGGGCACCUUGCCAUUCUAUCGUUGCAACGCCCUUGUUAAUUGCAUUUGAGCUGCUUCUUUGUAUUUACCUCCAGAACAUCAGUAAUCAUGCGGAUCCAGCUAUUAACUUGAAGAUUGUUUUUCUGCCCCUUUUGGCCUUUGAAGUAAUCAUUCUUGUAGACAAUUUCAGAAUGUGUAGGGCUUUAAUGCCAGGAGAUGAGGAAAGCAUGAGUGAUGAAGCUAUAUGGGAGACACUUCCUCACUUUUGGGUUGCAAUCUCCAUGGUGUUCCUGAUAGCUGCUACAACAUUCACACUUCUUAAGCUAAGUGGUGAUGUAGGUGCUUUGGGCUGGUGGGAUCUAUUUGUAAAUUUUGGAAUUGCAGAGUGCUUUGCUUUUCUCGUUUGCACAAAGUGGUCUAAUCCAAUGAUUCAUAGACAGUCUCAUCAUGGAGAAGCAAGCACAUCCUCCACAGCAAUUAGAUAUCGUGAUUGGAAUAAUGGUCUUGUGCUUCCUUCGAUUGAGGAUCAUGACCAGGAUAGGUUAUGUGGUCUGCAAGACAUAGGAGGCCAUAUAAUGAAAAUUCCACUUGUAGUUUUCCAGAUUUUGCUAUGUAUGCGCUUAGAGGGAACACCAGAUGGUGCCCGAUAUAUUCCAAUUUUGGUUCUUUUCCUGCCAAUAUUUCUUUUACAAGGUGCCGGCGUCCUAUUUGCUGCAUCAAGAUUGGUGGAGAAGCUUGUUCUUUUACUACGUAGUGGAUCAAUUAGUAAUAGAUAUCUGACAAUUUCUUCAAGAGCUUAUGAUUGCUUUGCAUUCCUACAUCAUGGUUCAAGAUUGCUGGGUUGGUGGUCGAUUGAUGAAGGUAGCAAAGAAGAGCAAGCUCGCUUAUUUCAUUCUGAAGCCACCGGGUAUAACACUUUUUGUGGUUUCCCACCUGAGGUGGUGAAGAAAAUGCCUAAGAAGGAUCUUGCUGAAGAGGUUUGGAGGCUACAAGCAGCUUUGGGAGAACAAACUGAAAUCACAAAGUACAGCCAGCAAGAGUAUGAAAGGCUUCAAAAUGUUCGAUGUGCCAGUAUCCGAGCCCGAAUUGGUCGAUCGGCAGUAUGAUUCAAUAAUGCCCCCGUACUGUUCCAUAUUGAGCCCAAACAAACAUAAAGAGAGGAUGGAGAGAGAAUAGGGGAGGGAAGGAGAGGGGGAGAGAGAGAGGGCCUUCGGAGAACAUUGGAGGCCAGUUGAGCUUGCUGCACCACAGUUGAGCUCGGUGGAGAUCGAAGGGCGGAGGGAGAGAGGGAGAGGGAGAGGGAGAGGAGGCCACUGAAGGCCUCCAGAUGGCCGACGAGGUUGCCAUGCUGUCGUUGAGGUCGAUGAAGGCUGGAGGAGGGGCUUCACCAUCUUCCCGAUGGAAACAGAGGAAAAGAUCCUAUGCAGGGUUUGCUUUGAGGGAGAAAUAUGCACGGUCCUCCUUCCUUGCCGGCACCGUACUCUUUGCAAGCAUUGCUCUGAGAAAUGUAAGAAAUGUCCUAUAUGCCGUGUCUCCAUCGAGGAACGCAUGCCUGUAUAUGAUGUUUAAGCUUGACUAACCUCUCAAAAGAAGAUGAAUUGUACAGGUUUGACUUCUUUUACAGCUGUGUGUGUGUGCGUGUGCGCGUGCGUUUCCUGUAUAUCAUGUAUAUUUAAACAUUGGAAAAUGAUUUUCAAUCCAACUCAUUGCUGAAUGAUGCAUCCAUGCAGCUUAAAGUUGCUUGUAAUAUCUGACAACAGCAUUUAGGUGGCUGAUGAAAUUCACGAUGACUGUUCCAGUUGCUUUUCUUUCCAUGUACAUACAUUUUUGCUUAUGCUAUAAAUUUAAAAUUAUAGUCACUAUUUUUUUUUUUUUGGGUAUUUGUAAAACAAUGAUGAUGCUGUCCAAUCUAAUGGAGGCUUAAUGUGUGCCUUCUUAGCAAGGAACUGAAGUAUUUUGUGAUCCAAAUGACUUUCCUGUUUUCUUUUUCUUUUUAGGCUUGAAGGUAUCAUAAGACCAAGAACAACCCCCCUCCCCUAGAGAUGUUAAAGCAAUUUUGCAAAGCUGUGCUGUGAAUUAGAAUAGCAAUUUGAUAUUGAUGCAUAUAGGAUAAUCAUUUACUCU